GAUGAACGCUGGCGGCGUGCCUAAUACAUGCAAGUCGAGCGAACGGACGAGAAGCUUGCUUCUCUGAUGUUAGCGGCGGACGGGUGAGUAACACGUGUAUAACCUACCUAUAAGACUGGGAUAACUUCGGGAAACCGGAGCUAAUACCGGAUAAUAUUUUGAACCGCAUGGGUCAAAAGUGAAAGACGGUCGUGCUGUCACUUAUAGAUGGAUCCGCGCUGCAUUAGCUAGUUGGUAAGGUAACGGCUUACCAAGGCAACGAUGCAUAGGCGACCUGAGAGGGUGAUCGGCCACACUGGAACUGAGACACGGUCCAGACUCCUACGGGAGGCAGCAGUAGGGAAUCUUCCGCAAUGGGCGAGAGCCUGACGGAGCAACGCCGCGUGAGUUAUGAAGGUCUUCGGAUCGUAAAACUCUGUUAUUAGUGAAGAACAUAUGUGUAAGUAACUGUGCACAUCUUGACGGUACCUAAUCAGAAAGCCACGGCUAACUACGUG
This 497-nucleotide ribosomal RNA is filed under the name uncultured bacterium. RNAcentral describes it as "partial 16S ribosomal RNA". It matches the Rfam family "Bacterial small subunit ribosomal RNA", at positions 28 to 507 of the family's 1533-position model. The record is from RNAcentral.